Molecule: ribosomal RNA, 440 nt
Filed under: uncultured Janthinobacterium sp.
Lineage: Bacteria; Pseudomonadati; Pseudomonadota; Betaproteobacteria; Burkholderiales; Oxalobacteraceae
Description: bacterial SSU rRNA
Rfam family: Bacterial small subunit ribosomal RNA
Source: RNAcentral
GGAAUUUUGGACAAUGGGCGAAAGCCUGAUCCAGCAAUGCCGCGUGAGUGAAGAAGGCCUUCGGGUUGUAAAGCUCUUUUGUCAGGGAAGAAACGGUGAGAGCUAAUAUCUCUUGCUAAUGACGGUACCUGAAGAAUAAGCACCGGCUAACUACGUGCCAGCAGCCGCGGUAAUACGUAGGGUGCAAGCGUUAAUCGGAAUUACUGGGCGUAAAGCGUGCGCAGGCGGUUUUGUAAGUCUGAUGUGAAAUCCCCGGGCUCAACCUGGGAAUUGCAUUGGAGACUGCAAGGCUAGAAUCUGGCAGAGGGGGGUAGAAUUCCACGUGUAGCAGUGAAAUGCGUAGAUAUGUGGAGGAACACCGAUGGCGAAGGCAGCCCCCUGGGUCAAGAUUGACGCUCAUGCACGAAAGCGUGGGGAGCAAACAGGAUUAGAUACCCUAG